RNAcentral lists this ribosomal RNA (253 nucleotides) under uncultured bacterium. RNAcentral describes it as "partial 16S ribosomal RNA". It matches the Rfam family "Bacterial small subunit ribosomal RNA", at positions 524 to 776 of the family's 1533-position model. The record is from RNAcentral.
UACGGAGGGUGCAAGCGUUAUCCGGAUUUACUGGGUUUAAAGGGUGCGUAGGUGGGGAGGUAAGUCAGCGGUGAAAUCCCCGAGCUUAACUUGGGAACUGCCAUUGAUACUAUCUCUCUUGAAUAUCUUGGAGGUGAGCGGAAUAUGUCAUGUAGCGGUGAAAUGCUUAGAUAUGACAUAGAACACCAAUUGCGAAGGCAGCUCACUACACGGUAAUUGACACUGAGGCACGAAAGCGUGGGGAUCAAACAGG